GCUAUGUCUGCGUGGAGUUUUCACUCUUGGAAGAUGCCAUCGGAUGCAUGGAGGCCAACCAGGCCAGAUUACCUGUCCCUAAUACUGAGCAGAAGCUGGUGAAUGAAACAGGAGAUCCCUCAGUCAAAACAAAAGGAAAAAGAAAAAUGAAACAGGAGAUCCCUUCUCUACAGCCCAGAUGGAACUCUAAUGAUCCAGGACAAAGAAGUUACCCUGGAGUAUGUAUCAAGCCUGGAUUUUUGGUACUGCAAACGAUGUAAGGCAAACAUUGGUGGGCACCGAUCUUCCUGUUCAUUCUGCAAGAACCCAAGAGAAGUGACAGAGGCCAAGCAAGAAUUAAUAACCUACCCUCAGCCUCAGAAAACAUCCAUACCAGCACCAUUGGAAAAACAGCCCAACCAGCCCCUAAGACCAGCUGAUAAGGAACCUGAACCCA
Molecule: long non-coding RNA, 436 nt
Filed under: Homo sapiens (human)
Lineage: Eukaryota; Metazoa; Chordata; Mammalia; Primates; Hominidae
Description: HSALNT0054419
Source: RNAcentral